AUGCAUGGCGCUGUCCGCAAGUACAUGAUGCUACAAGAUCUCGAUGUCCAGGUGAAGGAUUGGAUAUCACUCGUGAGGGAGCUGGCCUAUGACAUCGAGGAUGUCAUUGUCAAGUUCAUCCACCAGCUCGGUAAUGAGGGCCAGCACCAGGGUGGCUUCAAGGAGUUCUUCCGCGAGACUGCUCGCCGGCUCAAGACGUUAGGUUCUCGUCACGGAAUCACCAGCCAGAUCGACGAUCUGAAAAUUCGUCUCAAGGAGGUAAAAGAGUUGAAGAGUAGUUACAAGCUGGAUGAUAUUCCCUUUGAACAUUUGGUUGUGGAUCCCCGCUUGUCUGCUCUUUUUGUUGAGGAAGCACACCUCAUGGGCAUUGAUGGUCCAAGAGAUAACCUUGCCAGUUGGAUGCUGAUAGAUGAAAAUAGCUUCACAAAGCAUCGCAAGGUUUUGUCCAUUGUUGGCUUUCGUGGUUUGGGAAAAACGACACUGGCGAGAGAGGUCUACCGCAAGAUCCAAGGGCAUUUCCAUUGUUGGGCUUUUGUCUCUAUCUCACAAAAGCCUAAUGUGAAGAAAAUUAUGAAGGAUUUGAUCUCCCAGAUGCCUUGCAAGAAAGAUUUUAUAGAAGGUAUCGACACCUGGGAUGAAACGAUAUGUAUUGCGAAGCUAAGAGAGCUCUUAAAAGAUAAGAGGUAUCUCAUUGUUAUUGAUGAUAUAUGGUCCAUAUCAGCAUGGGAUGCUAUUAAGCAUGCUUUCCCAGAGAAUGAUUUUUGUAGCAGAAUUAUUGCAACUACACGCAAUGUUGAUGUAGCAAGAUCAUGUUGUCAAGGUGGUAAUGGUCGCAUGUAUGAAAUGGAAGCCCUGAGUGAUCUCCAGUCCAAAAGAUUGUUUUUCAAAAGAAUAUUUGGUUCCGAGGACUGUUGCCCUAAUGUGCUAAAACAAAGUUCAAAUAAAAUACUGAAGAAAUGUGGAGGCCUCCCAUUGGCAAUUAUCAGCAUAUCAAGUUUAUUGGCAAACAGAUCAGUGGUCAAAUAUGAGUGGGAGAGAGUUGGAAGGUCCAUUGGUUCUGCAUUGGACAAAAACCGAAGCUUAGAUGCAAUGAAUAGCAUACUAUCCCUUAGCUAA
This 1116-nucleotide ribosomal RNA is filed under the name Triticum aestivum (bread wheat). RNAcentral describes it as "partial small subunit ribosomal RNA". The record is from RNAcentral. Lineage: Eukaryota; Viridiplantae; Streptophyta; Magnoliopsida; Poales; Poaceae.